This 295-nucleotide unclassified non-coding RNA is filed under the name uncultured fungus. RNAcentral's name for it is "sequence contains ITS1". Lineage: Eukaryota; Fungi. The record is from RNAcentral.
UGGACUACACGGGUUUCUAAUCCUGUUUGCUCCCCACGCUUUCGUGCAUGAGCGUCAGUCUCAUCCCAGGGGGCUGCCUUCGCCAUCGGUGUUCUUCCACAUAUCUACGCAUUUCACUGCUACACGUGGAAUUCCACCCCCCUCUGACAAACUCUAGCCGUGCAGUCACAAAUGCAGUUCCCAGGUUAAGCCCGGGGAUUUCACACCUGUCUUGCACAACCGCCUGCGCACGCUUUACGCCCAGUAAUUCCGAUUAACGCUCGCACCCUACGUAUUACCGCGGCUGCUGGCACAC